GUAGGGUGCGAGCGUUAUCCGGAAUCAUUGGGCGUAAAGAGCUCGUAGGCGGUUCAGCAAGUCGGCUGUGAAAUUCCGAGGCUCAACCUCGGAACUGCAGUCGAUACUGUUGUGACUCGAGUCCGGUAGAGGAGAAUGGAAUUCCCGGUGUAGCGGUGAAAUGCGCAGAUAUCGGGAGGAACACCAGUAGCGAAGGCGGUUCUCUGGGCCGGCACUGACGCUGAGGAGCGAAAGCGUGGGGUAGCAAACAGGAUUAGAUACCCUGGUAGUCCACGCCCGUAAACGUUGGAUACUAGGUGUGGGGUUCCGACCAACGGUCCCCGUGCCGAAGCUAACGCAUUAAGUAUCCCCGCCUGGGGAGUACGGCCGCAAGGCUA
RNAcentral lists this ribosomal RNA (377 nucleotides) under uncultured organism. Its description in RNAcentral is "partial 16S ribosomal RNA". It matches the Rfam family "Bacterial small subunit ribosomal RNA", at positions 527 to 896 of the family's 1533-position model. The record is from RNAcentral.